RNAcentral lists this non-coding RNA (28 nucleotides) under Homo sapiens (human). The record is from RNAcentral. Lineage: Eukaryota; Metazoa; Chordata; Mammalia; Primates; Hominidae.
UCAACCCCAGAGGUGUCAGCUGCUCCCA